GUGGGGAAUAUUGGACAAUGGGCGAAAGCCUGAUCCAGCCAUGCCGCGUGUGUGAAGAAGGUCUUCGGAUUGUAAAGCACUUUAAGUUGGGAGGAAGGGCAGUAAGUUAAUACCUUGCUGUUUUGACGUUACCGACAGAAUAAGCACCGGCUAACUUCGUGCCAGCAGCCGCGGUAAUACGAAGGGUGCAAGCGUUAAUCGGAAUUACUGGGCGUAAAGCGCGCGUAGGUGGUUUUGUAAGUUGGAGGUGAAAUCCCCGGGCUCAACCUGGGAACUGCCUCCAAAACUGCAUGACUAGAGUACGGUAGAGUGUAGUGGAAUUUCCUGUGUAGCGGUGAAAUGCGUAGAUAUAGGAAGGAACACCAGUGGCGAAGGCGACUACCUGGACUGAUACUGACACUGAGGUGCGAAAGCGUGGGGAGCAAACAGGAUUAGAAACCCCUGUAGUCC
RNAcentral lists this ribosomal RNA (450 nucleotides) under uncultured bacterium. Its description in RNAcentral is "partial 16S ribosomal RNA". It matches the Rfam family "Bacterial small subunit ribosomal RNA", at positions 354 to 796 of the family's 1533-position model. The record is from RNAcentral.